GAUGAACGCUGGCGGCGUGCCUAAUACAUGCAAGUCGAGCGAACAGACGAGGAGCUUGCUCCUCUGACGUUAGCGGCGGACGGGUGAGUAACACGUGGAUAACCUACCUAUAAGACUGGGAUAACUUCGGGAAACCGGAGCUAAUACCGGAUAAUAUAUUGAACCGCAUGGUUCAAUAGUGAAAGACGGUUUUGCUGUCACUUAUAGAUGGAUCCGCGCCGCAUUAGCUAGUUGGUAAGGGAACGGCUUACCAAGGCAACGAUGCGUAGCCGACCUGAGAGGGUGAUCGGCCACACUGGAACUGAGACACGGUACAGACUCCUACGGGAGGCAGCAGUAGGGAAUCUUCCGCAAUGGGCGAAAGCCUGACGGAGCAACGCCGCGUGAGUGAUGAAGGUCUUCGGAUCGUAAAACUCUGUUAUUAGGGAAGAACAAAUGUGUAAGUAACUAUGCACGUCUUGACGGUACCUAAUCAGAAAGCCACGGCUAACUACGUG
This 497-nucleotide ribosomal RNA is filed under the name uncultured bacterium. Its description in RNAcentral is "partial 16S ribosomal RNA". It matches the Rfam family "Bacterial small subunit ribosomal RNA", at positions 28 to 507 of the family's 1533-position model. The record is from RNAcentral.